This 258-nucleotide ribosomal RNA is filed under the name Candidatus Phytoplasma prunorum. RNAcentral describes it as "partial 16S ribosomal RNA". It matches the Rfam family "Bacterial small subunit ribosomal RNA", at positions 517 to 775 of the family's 1533-position model. The record is from RNAcentral. Lineage: Bacteria; Bacillati; Mycoplasmatota; Mollicutes; Acholeplasmatales; Acholeplasmataceae.
GCGGUAAUACAUGGGGGGCAAGCGUUAUCCGGAUUUAUUGGGCGUAAAGGGUGCGUAGGCGGUUAAAUAAGUCUAUGGUAUAAGUUCAACGCUUAACGUUGUGAUGCUAUAGAAACUGUUUGACUAGAGUUGGAUAGAGGCAAGUGGAAUUCCAUGUGUAGCGGUAAAAUGCGUAAAUAUAUGGAGGAACACCAGUAGCGAAGGCGGCUUGCUGGGUCUUAACUGACGCUGAGGCACGAAAGCGUGGGGAGCAAACAG